RNAcentral lists this ribosomal RNA (231 nucleotides) under uncultured bacterium. Its description in RNAcentral is "partial 16S ribosomal RNA". It matches the Rfam family "Bacterial small subunit ribosomal RNA", at positions 524 to 753 of the family's 1533-position model. The record is from RNAcentral.
GACGUAGGGGGCCAGCGUUGCUCGGAAUUACUGGGUGUAAAGGGUUCGUAGGCGGACAUUUAAGUCAGGGGUGAAAUCCCAGAGCUCAACUCUGGAACUGCCUUUGAUACUGGAUGUCUUGAGUGUGAGAGAGGUAUGUGGAACUCCGAGUGUAGAGGUGAAAUUCGUAGAUAUUCGGAAGAACACCAGUGGCGAAGGCGACAUACUGGCUCAUUACUGAACGCUGGAGGC